This 511-nucleotide ribosomal RNA is filed under the name uncultured bacterium. RNAcentral's name for it is "bacterial SSU rRNA". It matches the Rfam family "Bacterial small subunit ribosomal RNA", at positions 8 to 518 of the family's 1533-position model. The record is from RNAcentral.
AGGGUUCGAUUCUGGCUCAGGAUGAACGCUGGCGGCGUGCUUAACACAUGCAAGUCGAACGGAGUUUUUAAACGGAACGUUUCGGAUGGAAGUUUAAGAACUUAGUGGCGGACGGGUGAGUAACGCGUGGGUAACCUGCCUCAUACAGGGGGAUAACAGUUAGAAAUGACUGCUAACACCGCAUAAUAUAGCGAAACCGCAUGAUUUUUGCUAUCAAAUAUUUAUAGGUAUGAGAUGGGCCCGCGUCUGAUUAGCUAGUUGGUGGGGUAAAAGCCUACCAAGGCGACGAUCAGUAGCCGGCUUGAGAGAGUGACCGGCCACAUUGGGACUGAGACACGGCCCAAACUCCUACGGGAGGCAGCAGUGGGGAAUAUUGGACAAUGGGGGAAACCCUGAUCCAGCGACGCCCGCGUGAGUGAAGAAGUAUUUCGGUAUGUAAAGCUCUAUCAGCAGGGAAGAUAAUGACAGUACCUGACUAAGAAGCCCCGGCUAACUACGUGCCAGCAGCAGC